AUUGAACGCUGGCGGCAGGCUUAACACAUGCAAGUCGAGCGGAGAUGAGGUGCUUGCACCUUAUCUUAGCGGCGGACGGGUGAGUAAUGCUUAGGAAUCUGCCUAUUAGUGGGGGACAACAUUCCGAAAGGAAUGCUAAUACCGCAUCCGUCCUACGGGAGAAAGCAGGGGAUCUUCGGACCUUGCGCUAAUAGCUGAGCCUAAGUCGGAUUAGCUAGUUGGUGGGGUAAAGGCCUACCAAGGCGACGAUCUGAAGCGGGUCUGAGAGGAUGAUCCGCCACACUGGGACUGAGACACGGCACAGACUCCUACGGGAGGCAGCAGUGGGGAAUAUUGGACAAUGGGGGAAACCCUGAUCCAGCCAUGCCGCGUGUGUGAAGAAGGCCUUAUGGUUGUAAAGCACUUUAAGCGAGGAGGAGGCUACUGAGACUAAUACUCUUGGAUAGUGGACGUUACUCGCAGAAUAAGCACCGGCUAACUCUGUGCCAGCCGCCGCAGUAA
Molecule: ribosomal RNA, 501 nt
Filed under: uncultured bacterium
Lineage: Bacteria
Description: partial 16S ribosomal RNA
Rfam family: Bacterial small subunit ribosomal RNA
Source: RNAcentral